This 497-nucleotide ribosomal RNA is filed under the name uncultured bacterium. RNAcentral's name for it is "partial 16S ribosomal RNA". It matches the Rfam family "Bacterial small subunit ribosomal RNA", at positions 28 to 507 of the family's 1533-position model. The record is from RNAcentral.
GAUGAACGCUGGCGGCGUGCCUAAUACAUGCAAGUCGAGCGAACGGACGAGAAGCUUGCUUCUCUGAUGUUAGCGGCGGACGGGUGAGUAACACGUGGAUAACCUACCUAUAAGACUGGGAUAACUUCGGGAAACCGGAGCUAAUACCGGAUAAUAUUUUGAACCGCAUUGUUCAAAAGUGAAAGACGGUCUUGCUGUCACUUAUAGAUGCAUCCGCGCGGCAUUAGCUAGUUGGUAAGGUAACGGCUUACCAAGGCAACGAUGCAUAGCCGACCUGAGAGGAGGAUCGGCCACACUGGCACUGAGACCCGGUCGAGACUCCUACGGGAGGCAGCAGUAGGGAAUCUUCCGCCAUGGGCGAAAGCCUGACGGAGCACAGCCGCGUGAGUGAUGAAGGUCUUCGGAUCGUAAAACUAUGUUAUUAGGGAAGAACAUAUGUGUCAGUAACUGUGCACAUCUUGACGGUACCUAACCAGAAAGCCACGGCUAACUACGUG